This 28-nucleotide non-coding RNA is filed under the name Homo sapiens (human). Lineage: Eukaryota; Metazoa; Chordata; Mammalia; Primates; Hominidae. The record is from RNAcentral.
UGAGAGGUUUGUGAUUGCUGUAGGAGAU